RNAcentral lists this ribosomal RNA (459 nucleotides) under uncultured bacterium. RNAcentral describes it as "partial 16S ribosomal RNA". It matches the Rfam family "Bacterial small subunit ribosomal RNA", at positions 339 to 795 of the family's 1533-position model. The record is from RNAcentral.
CUACGGGGGGCUGCAGUGAGGAAUAUUGCGCAAUGGACGAAAGUCUGACGCAGCCAUGCCGCGUGCAGGAUGACGGCCCUAUGGGUUGUAAACUGCUUUUGUAUGGGAAUAAACCCUUCUACGUGUAGAAGGCUGAAGGUACCAUAAGAAUAAGCACCGGCUAACUCCGUGCCAGCAGCCGCGGUAAUACGGAGGGUGCAAGCGUUAUCCGGAUUUAUUGGGUUUAAAGGGUCCGUAGGCGGGCCGAUAAGUCAGUGGUGAAAGCCCAUAGCUCAACUAUGGAACUGCCAUUGAUACUGUCGGUCUUGAGUAUAUGUGAUGUUGGCGGAAUGUGUAGUGUAGCGGUGAAAUGCUUAGAUAUUACACAGAACACCGAUUGCGAAGGCAGCUGACAAAUAUAUAACUGACGCUGAGGGACGAAAGUGUGGGGAUCAAACAGGAUUAGAUACCCUUGUAGUC